CAUAGCGACUAUCGUGGCAUAUCAAUAAGCGGAGGAAAAGAAACUAACUAGGAUUCCCUUCAGUAACGGCGAGUGAAGCGGGAAGAGCUCAAAUUUGAAAUCUUCAAGGUUUUACCUUGACGAAUUGUAGUUUAAAGAAGUGUUUUCUGUUGGAGUUUUGGUAAAAGUUCUUUGGAAUAGGACAUCAUAGAGGGUGAGAAUCCCGUAUUUGACCAUUAUUUUCAGCUGUGUGAUACACUUUCAAAGAGUCGGAUUGUUUGGGAAUGCAGUCCAAAAUGGGUGGUAAAUUUCAUCUAAAGCUAAUAUUGGCGAGAGACCGAUAGCGAACAAGUACCGUGAGGGAAAGAUGAAAAGAACUUUGAAAAGAGAGUUAAACAGUACGUGAAAUUGUCAAAAGGGAAGCGUUUGACACCAGUGUUGUUUUCUCGAAAAUCAACUAAAAAGAGUUGGAUUUUGUGUUGUAUUGACCUUAACAGCUUUCUUCACUCUUUUCCUGCUUUUUUUAAUGCACUUUUCGUUUAACAAGUCAACAUCAGUUUCUUUUGUUGUAAAAGGGUCAUUGGAAGGUGGCUUUCUUUUCGGAGAAAGUGUUUAUAGCCUUGUACCUCUGCAAUCGGAGAGAUUGAGGUCUGCAGCGUAGAUCCUUCGGGGUUAGAUACAUUUGUGCUAAGUUAUAGCUUUUCAUAGACAACUUGUUGACUAUGUUAAGUCUUGUAGCUUACUCGCUUAUGCUAUUUUACCUACGCUUAGGAUGUUGAAGAUAUGCGCGACACG
Molecule: ribosomal RNA, 774 nt
Filed under: uncultured Neocallimastigales
Lineage: Eukaryota; Fungi; Neocallimastigomycota; Neocallimastigomycetes; Neocallimastigales
Description: partial large subunit ribosomal RNA
Rfam family: Eukaryotic large subunit ribosomal RNA
Source: RNAcentral